Cygnus atratus (black swan) is the source of this 759-nucleotide long non-coding RNA. RefSeq lists it as uncharacterized. Lineage: Eukaryota; Metazoa; Chordata; Aves; Anseriformes; Anatidae. The transcript has 2 exons. The record is from RefSeq and is a predicted model, not a curated record.
CUCCUGGGGAUAUGAUUUAUGGACAAAGGGACUGUGUCCAAGCCUCUGGCUGGCAAUGUUACAGCCUCGUGUUUCAUCACUCGUCUCCCCCAGGAUGUACUACGAUCGCAUAAAUUGAAGGUUCGCAGCCCAAAUCUGCCACCUUUCUCGGAGAAAAGGCUGCGGCAUUUCUCACCGAUGACCUUACGCUCUGAGAGCCGAAAUUCCCCAAAGCCACGGAUCCCAGAGGACAAAACCCAGAGCAACCCUGCGGCAGAAACCCCCUCUGUGGUUUCAUCGGUGCCUGCCCCCACCCCAUCGCCCUACAUGGGAACGGAGCUGAAUUUCCAAAAAACCCCGUCGGAGAUCCCCGCUGAGCCAAGCAGCCCCUCCACCUCUUGCUCGUCUCCCGUGUGAUUUCUUGGUGGUAAAGUCCUGCCUGAUGAAACACCGGCACGGAGCAAAUCCUCUUGUCGAGCCCAGGAGCAGCCUUUGGAAGUGCAGGAGCCCCUCCAGCCAGCUGGAAAGUGAACACAAAGGAACGUUUUAACCCCGGCAGGAGAGGGGUCGUCACUGCCGGUGCUGCCUCUUGGAACAAGCAAGUUUUCUCUCUUUAAAGACACUGGACUGGUCUCUACUCCUGGUCUGAAUCCACCUUUUCUUACCCCAAAAAUCUUCAGUAAAAUAGUCAGUAAUACAACCCUUACGUAGCCAAGGAGGAAGAAACAAAACUCCAGCAGCAAAAGGUAAUAAAGUGACCUGACAAGGCAAAUUAUUGAA